CCGUAACUUUUUGGCGCGAUAUGAGAAAUAAACUGCGAGAGACCCAAGAAUAUUAUGAACGAACAAUAUAUAGAUAGAGUUUUUGAUUUUUCUUUUGGAGAGCUAACAAUUAGUCAAGCUACGAUUGGAGAUGUAGGUUGUGUAGUUUGGGAUGCAGCGAUUGUUCUCGCUAAAUAUAUCGAUGGUCCAAAUUUUAAGGAAAAACACAGCCUUGCAAGUUCUUCUAUUUUGGAACUUGGAGCAGGAACCGGUUUAGUGGGCCUAACUGCUGCUGCAUUAGGUGGAAUUGUAACUUUAUCAGAUUUAGAGACACUAAUUCCUCUCAUGCAAAAAAAUAUUGAAGGUAACAAAAAUGUAUUGAAAGGUAAAUGCACCUCAAUGGUUUUAAAAUGGUAUGCAGUUUUAUGGGGAAGCAAUCUUAGUUUUAUUUAUCCUCCUGAUAUAAUUUUGGUGUCUGAUUGUAUCUACUAUGAAGAUUCAUUAUUACUGGUAAACUCUAUGUCUCAAUUAUGCUCAGAGAAAACUACAAUUUACUUAUCAUAUGAAGACAGAAACACUGAUCAUAAACUUCAACUUGUCAAAGAGUUUUUUUUGAACAUGUAAAGAAUAAGAACAAGAUUGUCCCUUUCUCAGAAAGUUUAUGAAAAAUUAUUGACAUAAAUCAGCACCUAAAAUCUCUAGCAACUGGUAAAACUGAAAUAGCUCGUUAAUCAGCAUUUUUUCGUUGAAGAAAUUCCGAACAUAAUGCACGAUAAAAUAUUUCGUAGUGACGAUAUUCAUAUAUUCAGGUUAUCACUGAAAACAAUUUAAAGUAAAUGAAUAAAAAGAACUAAGAA
Hydra vulgaris (swiftwater hydra) is the source of this 836-nucleotide RNA transcript. It is a transcript of the gene named protein N-lysine methyltransferase METTL21D, with no coding region annotated. The record is from RefSeq and is a predicted model, not a curated record. Lineage: Eukaryota; Metazoa; Cnidaria; Hydrozoa; Anthoathecata; Hydridae.